UAAUUAAACUUAAUUGGGUUAGCCAGGGUAGUCUGAUUAGCAUAAUUAAUUUAGGCCUCUUAGUAGGCCUGAGGGGUGUGUGUUUCUGUUAGGGAUCCUGUGAGGGAGGUGUUUGAGACUCAAAGUAGGAAAAAUAGUUAAUUCUCCAGGUCAAGGAAGAGGUACUGUAGACAAGUGGGAAAGAAAACAUAUAGAAGUACAGAAGAUUUAGUACAGCUGAAGGCCAUGUAUUCUUUUGAAACUGGUGUGAAAUGUGAGCAAUAAUUACUUCCUGCACUGCAAAGUUAUUGAGAAGUUUCAAGGCAUACAGUUCUGGGUGAUGAGAAGCAAAACUGAAUGAGUAGAAGAAAUGUGAUCAGAAAAACAAUGAGAGCAUGCCUUGAUCUGUUUGCAGAGAAAAGGAAGAGAGUUCAGAGAAGAGUAUGACUUGAUGAGUCAGAUGAAGUUAGGACCUAACAAGAUGGUGCACUGAAAGACUUAUUUAGGAGCUGUAAGAAGCUGGACUUAAUCUUACAGGAUUCCAAGUAUCCUUGCUGAGCUUCUGAGUAUUCCUAAUUUAUAGGAAUAUAUAUCAAAGGAAAGAGCAUAUUAACAGCAUAAGCUA
RNAcentral lists this long non-coding RNA (604 nucleotides) under Anas platyrhynchos platyrhynchos (common mallard). Its description in RNAcentral is "lncRNA (ENSAPLG00000017633.1)". The record is from RNAcentral. Lineage: Eukaryota; Metazoa; Chordata; Aves; Anseriformes; Anatidae.